AACUACCUUGUUAAAUUGCCACAGUUCGACAAAUACCCGUCGAUAUGCAGAUGUUCGAUAGGUUCUCCUGUCGAAUCGUGGUUGUUCAACAGGGUA
Molecule: microRNA precursor, 96 nt
Filed under: Oryza nivara
Lineage: Eukaryota; Viridiplantae; Streptophyta; Magnoliopsida; Poales; Poaceae
Description: pre miRNA MIR439
Rfam family: MIR439 microRNA precursor family
Source: RNAcentral